RNAcentral lists this ribosomal RNA (508 nucleotides) under uncultured bacterium. RNAcentral's name for it is "partial 16S ribosomal RNA". It matches the Rfam family "Bacterial small subunit ribosomal RNA", at positions 29 to 523 of the family's 1533-position model. The record is from RNAcentral.
AGUGAACGCUGGCGGCAGGCCUAACACAUGCAAGUCGAACGGCAGCACAGUAAGAGCUUGCUCUUAUGGGUGGCGAGUGGCGGACGGGUGAGGAAUACAUCGGAAUCUACUCUUUCGUGGGGGAUAACGUAGGGAAACUUACGCUAAUACCGCAUACGACCUACGGGUGAAAGCGGAGGACCUUCGGGCUUCGCGCGAUUGAAUGAGCCGAUGUCGGAUUAGCUAGUUGGCGGGGUAAAGGCCCACCAAGGCGACGAUCCGUAGCUGGUCUGAGAGGAUGAUCAGCCACACUGGAACUGAGACACGGUCCAGACUCCUACGGGAGGCAGCAGUGGGGAAUAUUGGACAAUGGGCGCAAGCCUGUUCCAGCCAUGCCGCGUGGGUGAAGAAGGCCUUCGGGUUGUAAAGCCCUUUUGUUGGGAAAGAAAAGCAGUCGGUUAAUACCCGAUUGUUCUGACGGUACCCAAAGAAUAAGCACCGGCUAACUUCGUGCCAGCAGCCGCCGUAA